Molecule: ribosomal RNA, 490 nt
Filed under: uncultured bacterium
Lineage: Bacteria
Description: partial 16S ribosomal RNA
Rfam family: Bacterial small subunit ribosomal RNA
Source: RNAcentral
AUUGAACGCUGGCGGCAGGCUUAACACAUGCAAGUCGAGCGGUAGCACAGGGGAGCUUGCUCCCUGGGUGACGAGCGGCGGACGGGUGAGUAAUGUCUGGGAAACUGCCUGAUGGUGGGGGAUAACUACUGGAAACGGUAGCUAAUACCGCAUAACGUCGCAAGACCAAAGAGGGGGACCUUCGGGCCUCUUGCCAUCAGAUGUGCCCAGAUGGGAUUAGCUAGUAGGUGGGGUAAUGGCUCACCUAGGCGACGAUCCCUAGCUGGUCUGAGAGGAUGACCAGCCACACUGGAACUGAGACACGGUCCAGACUCCUACGGGAGGCAGCAGUGGGGAAUAUUGCACAAUGGGCGCAAGCCUGAUGCAGCCAUGCCGCGUGUGUGAAGAAGGCCUUCGGGUUGUAAAGCACUUUCAGCGAGGAGGAAGGUGGUGAGCUUAAUACGUUCAUCAAUUGACGUUACUCGCAGAAGAAGCACCGGCUAACUCCGUG